CAUGCAGGCGGCUCUGUAAGUUGGAUGUGAAAGCUCCUGGCUUAACUGGGAGAGGCCAUUCGAAACUGCAGGGCUUGAGGUUGGGAGAGGGGUGUGGAAUUCCCGGUGUAGCGGUGGAAUGCGUAGAUAUCGGGAGGAACACCUGUGGCGGAAGCGACACCCUGGCCCACACCUGACGCUGAUGUGCGAAAGCGUGGGGAGCAAACAGGAUUAGAUACCCUGGUAGUCCACGCUGUAAACGAUGUCAACUGGGUGUCGGUAGUGUUACACUAUCGGUGCCGAGCCAACGCGUUAAGUUGACCGCCUGGGACUACGGCCGCAAGGCUAAA
This 329-nucleotide ribosomal RNA is filed under the name uncultured bacterium. RNAcentral describes it as "bacterial SSU rRNA". It matches the Rfam family "Bacterial small subunit ribosomal RNA", at positions 568 to 898 of the family's 1533-position model. The record is from RNAcentral.